GAUGAACGCUGGCGGCGUGCUUAAUACAUGCAAGUCGAACGGAAAGGUGCGGCGCUUGUGGGGCGCACGAGAGGGGAAGGGGGGAGAAAAACGCGUGUAAAACGCACUUGACAUAGGGGUAAAUUCUGGGAAAAGGGGAUAAAAUACGGUAGGAGAUAUUGAAGCACGGGGGGGAAUGGAAAAAGACGGUGGUUGGGGAUCGACUCGCGGCUUAUCAGCUUGAUGGUGGGGUAGGGGCGUACCAAGGCUUCGACGGGUAGCCGGCCUGAGAGGGUGACCGGCCACAUUGGGACUGGGAUACGGCCCAGACUCCUACGGGAGGCAGCAGUGGGGAAUAUUGCACAAUGGGCGGAAGCCUGAUGCAGCAACGCCGCGUGCGGGAUGACGGCCUUCGGGUUGUAAACCGCUUUCGCCUGUGACGAAGCGUGAGUGACGGUAAUGGGUAAAGAAGCACCGGCUAACUACGUG
RNAcentral lists this ribosomal RNA (468 nucleotides) under uncultured bacterium. RNAcentral describes it as "partial 16S ribosomal RNA". It matches the Rfam family "Bacterial small subunit ribosomal RNA", at positions 28 to 507 of the family's 1533-position model. The record is from RNAcentral.